UACGUAGGGUGCAAGCGUUAAUCGGAAUUCCUGGGCGUAAAGCGUGCGAAGGCGGUUAUGUAAGACAGGUGGUAAAUCCCCGGGCUUAACCUGGGAACUGCAUUUGUGACUGCAUAGCUAGAGUACGGUAGAGGGGGAUGGAAUUCCGCGUGUAGCAGUGAAAUGCGUAGAUAUGCGGAGGAACACCGAUGGCGAAGGCAAUCCCCUGGACCUGUACUGACGCUCAUGCACGAAAGCGUGGGGAGCAGACAGG
This 253-nucleotide ribosomal RNA is filed under the name uncultured bacterium. RNAcentral's name for it is "partial 16S ribosomal RNA". It matches the Rfam family "Bacterial small subunit ribosomal RNA", at positions 524 to 776 of the family's 1533-position model. The record is from RNAcentral.